UACGGAGGGUGCGAGCGUUGUCCGGAAUCACUGGGCGUAAAGGGCGCGUAGGUGGCUUGGUAAGGGUGCGGUGAAAGCCCGGGGCUCAACCCCGGGUCGGCCGUGCCGACUGCCAGACUGGAGCACUGUAGAGGCAGGUAGAAUUCCGGGUGUAGCGGUGGAAUGCGUAGAGAUCCGGAAGAAUACCGGUGGCGAAGGCGGCCUGCUGGGCAGUUGCUGACACUGAGGCGCGACAGCGUGGGGAGCAAACAGG
RNAcentral lists this ribosomal RNA (253 nucleotides) under uncultured prokaryote. RNAcentral describes it as "partial 16S ribosomal RNA". It matches the Rfam family "Bacterial small subunit ribosomal RNA", at positions 524 to 776 of the family's 1533-position model. The record is from RNAcentral.